AACGAACGCUGGCGGCAGGCCUAACACAUGCAAGUCGAACGCCGUAGCAAUACGGAGUGGCAGACGGGUGAGUAACGCGUGGGAACAUACCCCUCGGUUCGGAAUAACUCAGGGAAACUUGAGCUAAUACCGGAUACGUCCGAGGUUUUAAUCGACCUUGGAGAAAGAUUUAUCGCCGGAGGAUUGGCCCGACGUCUGACUAGCUUGUUGGUGAGGUAA
This 219-nucleotide ribosomal RNA is filed under the name uncultured bacterium. RNAcentral describes it as "partial 16S ribosomal RNA". It matches the Rfam family "Bacterial small subunit ribosomal RNA", at positions 29 to 260 of the family's 1533-position model. The record is from RNAcentral.